This 462-nucleotide ribosomal RNA is filed under the name uncultured bacterium. Its description in RNAcentral is "partial 16S ribosomal RNA". It matches the Rfam family "Bacterial small subunit ribosomal RNA", at positions 339 to 795 of the family's 1533-position model. The record is from RNAcentral.
CUACGGGGGGCUGCAGUGGGGAAUAUUGGACAAUGGGGGAAACCCUGAUCCAGCAAUGCCGCGUGUGUGAUGAAGGCCUGCGGGUUGUAAAGCACUUUCGGUAAGGAAGAAAAGCUUAAGUUUAACACUUAAGAAUUGACGUUACUUACAGAAGAAGCACCGGCAAACUCUGUGCCAGCAGCCGCGGUAAUACAGAGGGUGCAAGCGUUAAUCGGAGUUACUGGGCGUAAAGGGCGUGUAGGCUGAUAUUUAAGUCGAUUGUGAAAUACCUGGGCUCAACCUGGGAACUGCAGUCGAUACUGAAUGUCUAGAGUAUGGCAGAGGAAAGUGGAAUUCUUGGUGUAGUGGUUAAAUACGUAGAUAUCAAGAAGAACACCAGUGGCGAAGGCGGCUUUCUGGACCAAUACUGACGCUGAGGCGCGAAAGCGUGGGGAGCAAACAGGAUUAGAUACCCUCGUAGUC